Long non-coding RNA from Neofelis nebulosa (Clouded leopard), 1396 nucleotides. RefSeq lists it as uncharacterized. NCBI's taxonomy places the organism in Eukaryota, Metazoa, Chordata, Mammalia, Carnivora, Felidae. The transcript is spliced from 3 exons. The record is from RefSeq and is a predicted model, not a curated record.
GUGAGCAGAGCCUAGAGGGGCUGGGGGAGGUUUCAGGUCCUAGGCCAGGGCUUCACUUUCCCAGGGGGUUUUCGAGGGAAUGAGAGCCUCUAACAUCCUGGAGGACCACUGAACCCAUCCCGUGUGGGGUCCUUUCCUCUGGGCAUCCCCGAGUGGGCACAGGUCCACGCAAUUGCAUGGAAACACAGUCCCCCGCCCCCCAGUAACUAACCACCCGCGUGGGGGUCAAAGGAUGAGUGGACCCUGGAGGUGACAGGGGUUGGGGAAGAGAAGAGGUGUGGGGCGGGGACCUUGUCUCCAGGGAACAUGCCCAUGAGGGGAGCCACGCCAGGCCGAUGGCCAGGGGACCCCCAGAUACCCCCGUGUGUAUCACAGGCACCCCCAUUCUAGAGAAGCACCCCACUCAGCUCCCGUGGUUGGAGACCUUCGAAUGCGCGACGUGUUCUCAUGCUGUGUCCUGAUACCUCGAGGCUGUGGUCUCAGGAAAGCCCACAGGGAGAGCCUUUUCCCACCUGCAGACGGGGGGUCAGGUCUCACCCCCGAAGGCUGUGGUCAUGUGCCCGGAGGGACGCAAAGGUGACACCGGGAGGCCCAGGACUGGCUGGUCUAGCCUGACACUAGCCUGAUCCGACUUAAAUCAACCGAUGAAAUCGGGAAACGUCUGGCCGAAUCCCGAUUCACCUGCCCUACAGAGUUGUGCGUGUGCCCCGUCGCCCAGGAGAGCCACCCUGGACCCGGGGAGAGAGUGGCUGCACAGAGGUUUUGGGAAGCAGGGCCUGGACUUGGCCUGGGAAGGCCUCCUUCAGCGCCCCGGCGCCGCUGUAAGGUCCUCGUUCACUGGUCCUGGGACCGGUACUUGGAGUCCCCGGAGUCAGAGCCCGAGGAGUCCGCCGCAGGAGCAAAAGCCGGGUGGGCUCCAGAGCCCGGCCCAACGGUAUCGGGGGUCUCGGCGUAUCUGCAGGCAGGCGUGGUAUCUGGAGCGACUCCUGCAGGGACCCGGUUGCCAGCAGGCGACCUGGGACCUGUGCGGGGACAGCGGGCACCUGAGCAGAGUCAGCUGGGUCCUGCUUCUGCUGGUUCCACUGUUCCUGCUUCUGCUCCCAACACUGUUCCUGCCAUCGCCCUUCUCCCCGCCCCUGCCACUGCCCUUGCUCCCACAUGGAUGUCGGCCAAAAAUCAAGGGACUGAAGACCUAUACAGGGUGCCUUUGUUAUUUUCUUUUAUUUUUUGUUUAUGAUACUUUAUUUCAAAUUUAUUCUCCAAUCCCUGAGCCCGACCUCCCACCAAAAUGUCUCUUCCUCUUCUCCCUUAUCCUUUUUCUCUUCUACUUUUAGCUGUUAUUUUAUUUAUUCAUUAGUUAUAAUCUAUAUUAAUCUUCAAUAAAAUGUUUUAUUUA